Molecule: ribosomal RNA, 497 nt
Filed under: uncultured bacterium
Lineage: Bacteria
Description: partial 16S ribosomal RNA
Rfam family: Bacterial small subunit ribosomal RNA
Source: RNAcentral
GACGAACGCUGGCGGCGUGCCUAAUACAUGCAAGUAGAACGCUGAAGAGAGGAGCUUGCUCUUCUUGGAUGAGUUGCGAACGGGUGAGUAACGCGUAGGUAACCUGCCUUGUAGCGGGGGAUAACUAUUGGAAACGAUAGCUAAUACCGCAUAACAAUGGAUGACACAUGUCAUUUAUUUGAAAGGGGCAAUUGCUCCACUACAAGAUGGACCUGCGUUGUAUUAGCUAGUAGGUGAGGUAACGGCUCACCUAGGCGACGAUACAUAGCCGACCUGAGAGGGUGAUCGGCCACACUGGGACUGAGACACGGCCCAGACUCCUACGGGAGGCAGCAGUAGGGAAUCUUCGGCAAUGGGGGCAAACCUGACCGAGCAACGCCGCGUGAGUGAAGAAGGUUUUCGGAUCGUAAAGCUCUGUUGUAAGUCAAGAACGAGUGUGAGAGUGGAAAGUUCACACUGUGACGGUAGCUUACCAGAAAGGGACGGCUAACUACGUG